GUGGGUCCCAAGAUGGGAGCUGGGGAUGGGCCGGGUGCCGGGUGGCAGUCGGGGCUGGCGGCGGCGGCAACCUCGGGCCCUGGACACCUUCACCCCGCCGCCUGCCCAGGCGGGCCGGCCCUGCCCGUCCACCGGCCGCCGAGAGACCCCGGCCUUGGGCCCCCGGGGCCGCUGACUGGCCUCGGUCACCUCCCGGGGAAGGCUCCCGCGCCUUCAUCUGCCCCCGCAGGAAGGGACCGUCUUCUCGCCUGCGAGGCUUCUCCGGGUGGGAUCGUCCUGGCCCCCAGCCCUAAGGUAUCCGCCCCCUCCGAGCCUCCGCCGCCCCUCGGAGACCACUUCCGCUCGGACGGACCCACUCCAGCCACCGCUGCACGCGGAAGCGCUCAUCCUCCCCGCCUGCCCCUUUCCCUCCGCCUUCUUCUGUGGGACAACCAGGGACCACAGCUCCCCGCUCCGCAGGUGUGGGGGCUCCGACACGAACGCCUCUGCUUGCAGGGCAGUGAGCGCAGAUCCCACGGGUCCCUCGGUCGGGGGUCAAGGCUGCUUCCGUUUCCAUCUCGGAGCCGACAAUGGGCGGGAAAAAGAAGACUUUACACGACUACGCGGCGGAGUUCACCGACCUGGUGGUGAAGCAGCACCUGAUUGAGCACAGUAACUCUGGGGACACGUCUGUGGUGGAGACCCUUUACUGCAGGGCCUGCGAGCUGCCCAUGCGCGUGCGGAGGGACUGCAUCCUGGAACACCUGUCUUCGGGCAGGCACUGCAGGAACCGCAGACUCAUCCGACAGCACGGCCUGCGGACGCCCAUUCUCAUGUAAAUGUCAGUUGCCAACGCUGGUGUUUCAGGAGACAUCCCAGCGGGCUGCGGGCUAUUUUAGGAUUCUCUGCCCUGCAAACGUUUCCGAAGUAUGUGGACAGGCCGCCUGAUGACACUACGUUUACGGGAUCUGCUAGUGGCUUGCCCAUUUAGGGAGUAAACCCUGUGAAGUCUCGCCGUUUUGUUGAAGUGUGCGUGGCCACCUGAAUGCUGCCUUAUCACAAGCCAGAUACAUACUGGUCUGCAGGGUAACUCCCCACUGUUGAUCCUCUCAGAUGAUUGUGGACUGGGUGCUGUGAGUCCUGCCACUUUGUUUAAGUGAAUGUGCCUUUUGUCCAGCUCAGCCGCCUCGGAUCUCGCUGCCACCGGCCUUACUGCACACCCGUGCCACCCGCCCUUGCCCCGUCAGCCUCAGCCUCGGCUCAUUCUCUCAGGCAGUCCCAGCAUUGGCACAGUACCUCCUCCCACUGUGGGCCACACGUCUGUGCUCCCUGUCAACCCUACUGCCAUCAGCACCACCACCAGCGACUUGUCUGCCCAGGAGGAUGCAACACCAUCUACCUCCACCGGCCACCUUUCAGUGUCUCCUGCUUUCCAAGUAAAGACACCAGCAGUGCCCUCAGAGCAGACCAGCCAGAGAUUUUCUGAAGCCUCCCACAGGGUGCUCUCUGGAGGAGGCCUGAGAUGCUCUCGUGACUUUGGAGCCGGGGUGGCUGGCCACCUUGGCCUGGCCGGCCACCUUGGCCUGGCCAUCUUUGGGGUGGGCUUCGGGAGCCCGGCACUGCUGCAGAGUGUGGUGGAUGAGAACAGCUGCUGCUUGCUGUACGUGGUGGAGGACCAGCUGUGUGACGUGGAGCGAGCCUUCAGAGCUGAGCAUUUGGCCAAUACCAGAGUGGUUCGGGAACAGGAUGCGGACAUCGUCCUCAACCACCAGCGGCGCUUUGAUCCGGCUUUCCAGUUCUUGCACAAGCAAGUUUGUGUCAGCCACGCCCUGGGGAGGAUCCACCGGAUCACCGCAGUCAGCAGCCUGUUCCCAGCGGCCUCUCUGGCUUCCCUAAAGAGGGCAGGUGGGAUUUUCUACAACGCUGCUGUGCACGACGUGGAUGCCGUAUGCAUGUUGCUGGGGAAGCCACUCCGGACACUGUGUUUUUUCUGGGACGUGGCUUCUGCCCAGAUAUGGCCGCCUUAAAAGAUGCAGACGCUGUUGGGAUCAGCAUGAAGUUUCCCUGUGAGGCUGUGGUCAGCAUGGACGUCAGCCAGCACUGCACAGACAGCUGCGACCAGGACGUCAGCCAGCACUGCGCAGACAGCUGCGACCAGGACGUCAGCCAGCACUGCGCAGACAGCUGCGACCAGGACGUCAGCCAGCACUGCGCAGACAGCUGCGACCAGAGACUGGAGGUGACCACUGCCCUUUUCCACCCUUUGCCAGUCCACUGUGAAAAGCUGGGUUGAUUGUGCGGGUUAGAUAGAGGUCGUCAGCCGGGUUGAUUCCGCAGGUUAGAUAGAGGUCGUCAGCCAGGUUGAUCCUGCUGGUUAGAUAGAGGUCAUCACCCGGCCCAGGUGGGUGGGUCCCAAGGCGUGCUGCCGAUGGAGAAUCAGAAUCCCUUGGGCAUUACUGGGCGGGGCAUGUCCCUGUCCCUCGGCUCCCAGACCAGGCUAGCUGCUACCAGGACUCCUAUCGAGAGCUCUUCAGACACUUUGUCAGAACCCUUAAAGGUGGGUGACAUUCUCAGGAGGAACCUGGGAUGUCCUGAUGCUCAACGGGUAGAUGCCUUCCAGGCUGCAGUCAGUGCAGAUGAUAUGCCAAUCUUCAGGUGGAAAAUUGCAUUCCAGAUACUGGGUUCAGAUUUGAAAUUGUCCAUCUCAGUGAUCAUUUGCGUUGCGUGUACUUGAGGGAGAUUCUGAGAGAUGCUCCUUUGGGGUUCUGUGCAUGUACCAUGUUGCCUGACAUGUCCUAAAAAAUCUUGUUGAACUCUGAGGUUUAUAAAAUGAUAACUACUUCUGAACUCCUGAGAUCUAGUGGAUAACAUGUGUCCUGGAAGAUAGGACACCUUCUACCCUCUGUCAGUCCUGGGGGUGACUGGGAACCAGGGAGGUUGAGCAGAAUUCCUGGACCUGGGUGGGGCUUGUCCAAGAGGGGCAGGUGGGCCUCUCUAGGAUCAGUGUCCCACCCAGAGGCCAGUGGCCCCUUCACAUGCCCCAACAAGAAGAAGACUGGCUCCGAUGUGUUGGGUUUUGUCCUGAAUCUGUGCAAAUGUGCAGGGAAAGAACCUCCUGAAAUCACCAAAGAGCAGUUCCUCAGGGCCUUCUGGGUGGCCGUGGCCGCGGAGCAGUCGUGGUGGAACCGGUCAGCUGUGGACCUGCCCUGUGAAUCGGCAGAGGGCUCUGUGGUGAGGACAGAAGCUCCAUGAACCAACCCGAGGCUGGAGCCAAGAUCCUGCCCGAUAUCCAGUUGCCUGUUUCACUUGUCGCUGUUACUGGGAGAGGGAGACAGAACCUCAUGGCGGUCUUGUCCUCACUGGAGACUCAGAAGGGGAAUCAUUGGGAAACCGUGUAUGUUUCACUUCUGGUGUAACCAGACUUUUCAGGAUGUGACUUCAGACCGAGGACACAAGUUGGGCUUGCUUAGCUGUUUUGUGUUGCAUGCAGGCCUCAGAGAUGCUCUUCCGGUCAGAGUUCCCUUGGCAGGGCCUCGGAGGCCUCUGGUUGGCUCUGUCAGGAAGAGGGCAGGUCAGGGAUUGGAUAGUGUAAAUUGACCCAGAAACCCGCAGUUUCAGCUUUUCUGUGGCAAAUGGGGCCGAGGGCUGGUGAAGCUGUUAAGACUAAAUGUCUCAUGCAUGAGGCAGGCUGCAGGCCUCCUUAGGCCUUUUUUGGGGUAAUUAUACCACUAUUUAAAAACAUUUUUUUUUGUUUGUUUUGAGACAGGGUCUUGCCCUGUCACCCAGGCUGGAGUGCAGUGGUAUGAUCUCGGCUCACUGCAACCUCCGCCUCCCGGGUUCAAGCGAUUCUUUUGCCUCAGACUUCUGAGUAGCUGGGAUUACAGGCAUGCGCCACCAUGCUCGGCUAAUUUUUGUACUUUUAGUAGAGACGGGGUUUCACCAUGUUGUCCAGGCUGGUCUCGAACUGCUGACCUCGUGAUCCACCUGCCACGGCCUCCCAAAGUGCUGGGAUUACAGGCGUGAGCUACCAUGCUCGGCCUAAAAAACAAUUUUCUUGAAGAAUCUGAUUUUGUGCAUAGUAAUGAUACAGCACCAUUCCUGAGAAAAAGGAAAUAUAUGUGUGUGGUAUGAAAAGCCCAUAUUCUGUUCUUGCCGCCUGAAUCUAGGCUUCCUCUUUGGAUGUGAACACGGGAAUGAACAGUGGCUGUUUUCCACCCAACGGGGUGUGGAGAUCUUUUGGAAAUGGGCUUUCUCCUUUCCAUUUUGCAGCUGGGGGUGGAUGGAAACCUUCCUUCGAAGGGUAGUGACUUGGGGAGCAGCAGACCGGCUCCGAGUCCAGCUUAGCUUUCCAAAAUUCUGUGUGAAACCUACUGAAGAUGUUCUUAGAUAUUUGAAAAUAAUGGCCUGUAUUUCUCAUGCUAUACUUAAAAAAAUAACUAACCUUUUAAACAAAGAUAUUCAAACUCACCCUUGUGCCGAAAGCGCUCACGUUUCUGUGUUCAUUCCUGAAAGGGCGUUUUAGAGUCCCCGUUUCUACGUUCUGUGUGGCACCCUCUUGCCAAGGGAACAUCCAGAAUCCCUCCACUUCCUGUCUAGUUUGAGGCCUCAAUACGUUCAUGAUCCAGAGUCCUGUGGCUGUGAGGGGGUGGGCCCACCGCUGCCCAGCCCUCCUUGGUGGACAUGGGGACAGGUAGGAGCCUAGGGAAAGGGGUGAGCGGGCUCUGGUGUGACGGCAUGAGCGCUAGCCAGGAAGGUGGGGCCAGGGCCAGGCAUGGCGUGUCACCUGCACCUCACCUGUCGGGGAACUCGGUGGAGCUUCCUGGCGGCAUCUCUCCCUCUUGCCUUGGUCCUUUCUAUCUUUGUUUCAGGCCAAUUUCUAAAAAGACUGAGGCCUCCUUCAAGGUUGAACAGAUUUCUAGAGCCUUGUUUUUGCUGUGACAGGUCCCUAGUCCCUGUUCACAACUCUGAAACCAAGAAACCUGAGAACCAAGAGAACUGAAAUGAAGCCCUUUGGUCUCAGCCUGGUUUGAGCCAACAUGAGGCUCUCUGCUGCCCUUUGUUUUCUUAGGUUUUGCUGAGAAACGGGAGUGCGUUCUGUGUGGGUGUUUGUGACACCCUGAGACCCUGCUUGGCCUAGCUAAAGUCUGGAAAGCCUGGGUCCCACAGGGCUUGCAUGAGGGCCAUGGGCCUGUACUUCAGGAGGCCUGAGAGGCCCGGUCAGUCCCAUGAGGCUACUCAGCUUGGCCCGCAGGUCCUCCGAGGCACAGGGCAGAGGGACACCCCAGGGACCCAUCAGACUCACGACACGGAGAAACUCAAGUGGGGUGCCAGGGCCGGCUGCAGAGACCACAGGCUUCCUGCCUGUGAGGAGCCGCCCUGUUUGUCUGAGCCCCUCGGAGAUUUAGGUUUAGCCAUAAGAACCGGUCAUUGGAAUGUACACUUUAUUAUGUUACAAAAACAAAAAUCCCCACCGAAACACAGCUAAAAAAAUAACACAUUUUCCCGAGAUUACAUUACCAAAAACAGUUGUUAUGUCAUUGGAGGGCGUCCAUUAAUACUGCUCGGAGAAGCACGAUCCUACACGAAAAACACGGAUGGGAUUUCGUUUUCACCUUAAAGCAUUAAAGUGCUUUAACUGGUAA
This 5621-nucleotide small RNA is filed under the name Pongo abelii (Sumatran orangutan). RNAcentral describes it as "processed transcript". Lineage: Eukaryota; Metazoa; Chordata; Mammalia; Primates; Hominidae. The record is from RNAcentral.